Molecule: ribosomal RNA, 504 nt
Filed under: Vibrio sp. 1Bb4S34
Lineage: Bacteria; Pseudomonadati; Pseudomonadota; Gammaproteobacteria; Vibrionales; Vibrionaceae
Description: bacterial SSU rRNA
Rfam family: Bacterial small subunit ribosomal RNA
Source: RNAcentral
AGCCUGAUGCAGCCAUGCCGCGUGUAUGAAGAAGGCCUUCGGGUUGUAAAGUACUUUCAGCAGUGAGGAAGGGGGUGUCGUUAAUAGCGGCAUCUCUUGACGUUAGCUGCAGAAGAAGCACCGGCUAACUCCGUGCCAGCAGCCGCGGUAAUACGGAGGGUGCGAGCGUUAAUCGGAAUUACUGGGCGUAAAGCGCAUGCAGGUGGUUUGUUAAGUCAGAUGUGAAAGCCCGGGGCUCAACCUCGGAACUGCAUUUGAAACUGGCAAACUAGAGUACUGUAGAGGGGGGUAGAAUUUCAGGUGUAGCGGUGAAAUGCGUAGAGAUCUGAAGGAAUACCAGUGGCGAAGGCGGCCCCCUGGACAGAUACGACACUCAGAUGCGAAAGCGUGGGGAGCAAACAGGAUUAGAUACCCUGGUAGUCCACGCCGUAAACGAUGUCUACUUGGAGGUUGUGGCCUUGAGCCGUGGCUUUCGGAGCUAACGCGUUAAGUAGACCGCCUGGG